AAAUUGAAGAGUUUGAUCAUGGCUCAGAUUGAACGCUGGCGGCAGGCCUAACACAUGCAAGUCGAACGGUAGCACAGAGAGCUUGCUCUCGGGUGACGAGUGGCGGACGGGUGAGUAAUGUCUGGGAAACUGCCUGAUGGAGGGGGAUAACUACUGGAAACGGUAGCUAAUACCGCAUAACGUCGCAAGACCAAAGAGGGGGACCUUCGGGCCUCUUGCCAUCAGAUGUGCCCAGAUGGGAUUAGCUAGUAGGUGGGGUAAUGGCUCACCUAGGCGACGAUCCCUAGCUGGUCUGAGAGGAUGACCAGCCACACUGGAACUGAGACACGGUCCAGACUCCUACGGGAGGCAGCAGUGGGGAAUAUUGCACAAUGGGCGCAAGCCUGAUGCAGCCAUGCCGCGUGUAUGAAGAA
RNAcentral lists this ribosomal RNA (413 nucleotides) under Enterobacter cloacae. Its description in RNAcentral is "bacterial SSU rRNA". It matches the Rfam family "Bacterial small subunit ribosomal RNA", at positions 1 to 412 of the family's 1533-position model. Lineage: Bacteria; Pseudomonadati; Pseudomonadota; Gammaproteobacteria; Enterobacterales; Enterobacteriaceae. The record is from RNAcentral.